RNAcentral lists this small RNA (878 nucleotides) under 'Pelargonium capitatum' phytoplasma. RNAcentral's name for it is "bacterial SSU rRNA". The stretch from base 1 to 774 matches the Rfam family "Bacterial small subunit ribosomal RNA", at positions 755 to 1533 of the family's 1533-position model. The record is from RNAcentral. Lineage: Bacteria; Bacillati; Mycoplasmatota; Mollicutes; Acholeplasmatales; Acholeplasmataceae.
GAAAGCGUGGGGAGCAAACAGGAUUAGAUACCCUGGUAGUCCACGCCGUAAACGAUGAGUACUAAGUGUCGGGUUAAACCGGUACUGAAGUUAACACAUUAAGUACUCCGCCUGAGUAGUACGUACGCAAGUAUGAAACUUAAAGGAAUUGACGGGACUCCGCACAAGCGGUGGAUCAUGUUGUUUAAUUCGAAGAUACCCGAAAAACCUUACCAGGUCUUGACAUGUUUUUGCAAAAUGAUAGUAAUAUCGUGGAGGUUACCAGAAACACAGGUGGUGCAUGGUUGUCGUCAGCUCGUGUCGUGAGAUGUUAGGUUAAGUCCUAAAACGAGCGAAACCCUUAUCGUUAGUUGCCAGCACGUUAUGGUGGGGACUUUAACGAGACUGCCAAUGAUAAAUUGGAGGAAGGUGAGGAUCACGCAAAUCAGCAUGCCCCUUAUGACCUGGGCUACAAACGUGAUACAAUGGCUGUUACAAAGGGUAGCUGAAACGCAAGUUCUUGGCCAAUCCCCAAAAACAGUCCCAGUCCGGAUUGAAGUCUGCAACUCGACUUCAUGAAGUUGGAAUCGCUAGUAAUCGCGAAUCAGCAUGUCGCGGUGAAUACGUUCUCGGGGUUUGUACACACCGCCCGUCAAACCACGAAAGUUGGCAAUACCCCAAAACGGUAGCCUAACUCGUUUAUUCGAGAGGGCGCCGUCUAAGGUAGGGUCGAUGAUUGGGGUUAAGUCGUAACAAGGUAUCCCUACCGGAAGGUGGGGAUGGAUCACCUCCUUUCUAAGGAAACCAAUAAAAUCAAUCAUCUUCAGUUUUGAAAGACUUAGGCAACUAAGUUUUUCUUCGUGACUUCACGAAGGGCCUAUAGCUCAGCUGGUAGAGCA